GGUGCUGGCGACCGGCGAACGGGUGAGUAACGCGUGAGCAACCUACCCCGAGGAGGGGGAUAACCCGGGGAAACCCGGGCUAAUACCCCAUAAGCGCACGACCCGCAUGGGUUGUGUGAAAAGGGUGGCCUCUGCACUGCAAGCUGCCGCCUCGGGAUGGGCUCGCGUCCCAUCAGGUAGUUGGUGGGGUAACGGCCUACCAAGCCUACGACGGGUAGCCGGCCUGAGAGGGUGGUCGGCCACACCGGGACUGAGACACGGCCCGGACUCCUACGGGAGGCAGCAGUGGGGAAUCUUGGGCAAUGGGCGCAAGCCUGACCCAGCGACGCCGAGUGGAGGAAGAAGCCCUUCGGGGUGUAAACUCCUGUCGCCGGGGACGAUGCGGGGAUGGGUUAAGAGCCCAUUCUCGUGACGGUACCCGGAGAGGAAGGGACGGCUAACUACGUGCCAGCAGCCGCGGUAAUACGUAGGUCCCGAGCGUUGCGCGAAAUUACUGGGCGUAAAGAGCGCGUAGGCGGGCCAGUAAGUCAGAGGUGAAAGCCCCCGGCUCAACCGGGGAAUUGCCUCUGAUACUGCUGGCCUAGGGUCCGGAAGAC
RNAcentral lists this ribosomal RNA (596 nucleotides) under Thermovibrio sp. 138-7-R1-4. RNAcentral's name for it is "bacterial SSU rRNA". It matches the Rfam family "Bacterial small subunit ribosomal RNA", at positions 84 to 656 of the family's 1533-position model. The record is from RNAcentral. Lineage: Bacteria; Pseudomonadati; Aquificota; Aquificia; Desulfurobacteriales; Desulfurobacteriaceae.